Molecule: long non-coding RNA, 305 nt
Filed under: Struthio camelus australis
Lineage: Eukaryota; Metazoa; Chordata; Aves; Struthioniformes; Struthionidae
Description: lncRNA (ENSSCUG00000001171.1)
Source: RNAcentral
GUGGAUUUGUCUAUGCUCCUCGAGAUCUCUGGUCCUUUGAGGAAUGGUCAGCCUGAAUGGAAAAAUGUUUCCAAAGGUGAGUGCGUGGGAUAUCCUGUGCUCUAGGACAAACAGGGAAAAUGUAACAGAGGAUCUUGGCUGGAGGCCCCUUGAUUCACUUCAAGCAGAAGUUGUCUGAGUGUUUUGAAGCCAUCUGAUGUUACAGGAAUACUCCAUCCAGAAAAGCCAGGGAGAAAAUUCAGAAUGCUUUCUUCAGAGCAAGGUUUGAAUUCUUUUCAAUGAAUGCUCAAUAUUUUGUAAUAGUU